This 468-nucleotide ribosomal RNA is filed under the name uncultured bacterium. RNAcentral describes it as "partial 16S ribosomal RNA". It matches the Rfam family "Bacterial small subunit ribosomal RNA", at positions 28 to 507 of the family's 1533-position model. The record is from RNAcentral.
GACGAACGCUGGCGGCGCGCCUAACACAUGCAAGUCGAACGGAGCUGAGAGAAGCUUGCUUUUCUUAGCUUAGUGGCGAACGGGUGAGUAACGCGUGAGUAACCUGCCCUGGAGUGGGGGACAACAGUUGGAAACGACUGCUAAUACCGCAUAAGCCCACGAUCCGGCAUCGGAUUGAGGGAAAAGGAUUUAUUCGCUUCAGGAUGGACUCGCGUCCAAUUAGCUAGUUGGUGAGGUAACGGCCCACCAAGGCGACGAUUGGUAGCCGGACUGAGAGGUUGAACGGCCACAUUGGGACUGAGACACGGCCCAGACUCCUACGGGAGGCAGCAGUGGGGGAUAUUGCACAAUGGGGGAAACCCUGAUGCAGCGACGCCGCGUGGAGGAAGAAGGUUUUCGGAUUGUAAACUCCUGUCGUGAGGGACGAUAAUGAGGGUACCUAACAAGAAAGCACCGGCUAACUACGUG